Molecule: small nuclear RNA, 116 nt
Organism: Cynara cardunculus var. scolymus (artichoke)
Lineage: Eukaryota; Viridiplantae; Streptophyta; Magnoliopsida; Asterales; Asteraceae
Product: U5 spliceosomal RNA
Exons: 1
Source: RefSeq, a predicted model, not a curated record
AGCCAUGUAAUGAGCACAAAGCGAACUAUUCUUUCGCCUUUUACUAAUGAAUACCGUGUGUUUGUUCCAAUAAGUGGCAUACGCUUAUUUUUGGAGAGGUUUCCGUUUUUGGAAUG